This is a long non-coding RNA of Brassica oleracea var. oleracea, 442 nucleotides long. RefSeq lists it as uncharacterized. The record is from RefSeq and is a predicted model, not a curated record. The transcript has 3 exons. Lineage: Eukaryota; Viridiplantae; Streptophyta; Magnoliopsida; Brassicales; Brassicaceae.
UCCAAAGUGUUUCAGCUUCUCUCCACCGACAGAGCAAACAAAACAAAGGGAGCUAAAAAAAUUGUUUCCGUGUUUAUGAUCGAUUAUCAGAAUUUCUUAAGUCAACCACUUCAACUUCAUCAAGAACCUAACUAUAAUUUGUUCAGAGUCAAAGAUCUGUAUUAAAUUCGCCGGUAUAUACAUAGGGAGUUUUUGUCUUCAUUAUGCAAUGCAUCGAUGUUAUUGGAGGAGGAUACAAUUUCUCAUCGAUUGUACCUCAUAAAACAGGGAUCACUAAUGUUACAAAAAAGAUUUAAGGACUGUCUCCUGACCUCCAUGGAUUUCAUAUUCACUAUUUUGGUGGUAUUUUAAGUGGCUGCAACUCUACUUGUUCGUCUUUAAACUCUCUGUGUUUAUCACUGCUUACCUAUAUAUGAAGAAUUCACUUGUCGGUUGUGCUUAA